RNAcentral lists this ribosomal RNA (538 nucleotides) under uncultured bacterium. Its description in RNAcentral is "bacterial SSU rRNA". It matches the Rfam family "Bacterial small subunit ribosomal RNA", at positions 305 to 837 of the family's 1533-position model. The record is from RNAcentral.
CCCCCACACUGGUACUGAGACACGGACCAGACUCCUACGGGAGGCAGCAGUGAGGAAUAUUGGUCAAUGGAGGAAACUCUGAACCAGCCACGCCGCGUGCAGGAAGAAUGCCUUACGGGUUGUAAACUGCUUUUGUUUAGGAAUAAAAAUUCUUACGUGAUAAGGAUUGUGAAUGUACUAUACGAAUAAGUGUCGGCAAACUCCGUGCCAGCAGCCGCGGUAAUACGGAGGACACGAGCGUUAUCCGGAUUUAUUGGGUUUAAAGGGUGCGUAGGCGGUUUAUUAAGUCAGUAGUGAAAUAUUGCAGCUUAACUGUUAAAAUGGCUAUUGAUACUGAUAGACUUGAGUGAGAUUGGAGUAGCUGGAAUGUGUGGUGUAGCGGUGAAAUGCAUAGAUAUCACACAGAACACCGAUCGCGAAAGCAGGUUACUAAGUCUAUACUGACGCUGAGGCACGAAAGCGUGGGGAGCAAACAGGAUUAGAUACCCUGGUAGUCCACGCCGUAAACGAUGAUCACUAGUUGUUGGAUUUAUUUCUG